Long non-coding RNA from Carassius carassius (crucian carp), 800 nucleotides. RefSeq lists it as uncharacterized. The record is from RefSeq and is a predicted model, not a curated record. The transcript has 5 exons. Lineage: Eukaryota; Metazoa; Chordata; Actinopteri; Cypriniformes; Cyprinidae.
AACACUGCCUUGUCAUGCUUGUAGUAUUCUGAGGUAUUUUAAUGUUCCAGCCAAUGACAAAGUAACCAUAAACAUCUCUAGUCAGGUCAAAGAACAACACCGAGAUCAAAGUUGAUAACUUUGUGAGGUCUAAGAAUCUAGGAACAGUUAAUCAUUAAUUCAUUUUACAGCUGCAUCUGAAAUGUGUGUAUAGUUUCCUCUGAAACAGCAGAUAGAAGUAACCAAAUACAGUGAUACAUUUUUUUUUUCUCUUUCCAAAAUACACAGUAUGUUUGUUCUUUAAAAUAUCAUUUUUUGACACCAUGGCCACCAGAAAAAAUCUCUCAGCAGAAACUGACUUGAAGACAGAGAAAAGUCUUAGAGACUUUCCUGAAAGCAGACGGUUGUCUCUGAAGAGUACUGCUUCAAUGUGUGACCCACCUAUGUUGAGUGGGAAAAACUCUCUUGUUGAUGUAAGUCUGACUCAGAGAGAAUGUCCUGUUUGUCUAUGAAGAGUGAAGCAUCAAUGGGUGACCCACCUGAAUUAAACGAAAUAGACUCUCUGACUGAUGUAAGUCUGAUUCAGGGCAGGCCUCCUUAACCAAGCUGUUUGUCUAUGAAGAGUAAAGCAUCAAUGGGUGAUCCACCUGAAAAAAAUGGGACAGACUCUCCUGUUGAUCAGAGAAACAAACAGGAUGAAUCACUGUCGGAAUCACACUCCACUGGACAGAAGCAGUUGGACUCGAUUUUUAAGGUUGGAGUGUUUUUGUAUCUCUUUAUCCAAACAUCAUAGAACAGUGGUUUUCCACCACGUUCCUAUA